CCUACGGGUGGCUGCAGUGAGGAAUAUUGGUCAAUGGCCGCAGGGCUGAACCAGCCAAGUCGCGUGAGGGAUGACGGUCCUAUGGAUUGUAAACCUCUUUUGUCAGGGAGCAAAGGGCGCCACGUGUGGCGUUUUGCGAGUACGUGAAGAAAAAGCAUCGGCUAACUCCGUGCCAGCAGCCGCGGUAAUACGGAGGAUGCGAGCGUUAUCCGGAUUUAUUGGGUUUAAAGGGAGCGUAGGUGGUUAAUUAAGUCAGCGGUGAAAGUUUGUGGCUCAACCAUAAAAUUGCCGUUGAAACUGGUUGACUUGAGUAUAUUUGAGGUAGGCGGAAUGCGUGGUGUAGCGGUGAAAUGCAUAGAUAUCACGCAGAACUCCGAUUGCGAAGGCAGCUUACUAAACUAUAACUGACACUGAAGCACGAAAGCGUGGGGAUCAAACAGGAUUAGAUACCCUGGUAGUC
This 460-nucleotide ribosomal RNA is filed under the name uncultured bacterium. Its description in RNAcentral is "partial 16S ribosomal RNA". It matches the Rfam family "Bacterial small subunit ribosomal RNA", at positions 338 to 795 of the family's 1533-position model. The record is from RNAcentral.